CCACACACACACACACACACACAAUUUGCUCGUUGUGCAUUCUGGGUACUUCUGGGUAUUCGCGCCAAAGGACAAAAGGAGAAAUUUGAAAAAUGGGAGACUGAACCAGUAGAACGUCUCUGACUGAACCAGUAAGGUGAUUUAUCGUGUCGAGCACACUGGAUUAAGAUUGAGGAGGAAUUAUGGAGGAUCACACUAAAGCCACUACAGUCCACAUUCCUGGGGAAGUUGGACCAAUACACGCCCAGACCGUUGAGCCUCUACAGGAGGAAGGGAGUCGCUGAUGGGAAUAAACUUGAUGAGACCCAUAACAUGUUCAGAGUUCGACAUAACCCGGGGCCAGUAAAAGUAGGUGCAGGGCAUGUCGACUGACCAAUCGCUGAUUACACUGAUUGGCCAGUCGCUGCCGGUACGACAAUCGUGAUUCGCUAG
This 432-nucleotide long non-coding RNA is filed under the name Sparus aurata (gilthead seabream). Its description in RNAcentral is "lncRNA (ENSSAUG00010010592.1)". The record is from RNAcentral. Lineage: Eukaryota; Metazoa; Chordata; Actinopteri; Spariformes; Sparidae.